UGGAGCACAACAAGAACUUGUACGAGCAGGUCAAUGCCAUUGCUUCAAGGAAGGGUUGUACCCCAUCACAGCUAGCUUUGGCCUGGGUCCAUCACCAAGGCAAAGAUGUUUGCCCCAUACCUGGCACUACCAAGAUUGAGAACCUCGAUCAGAAUAUAGGAGCUUUGUCUGUGAAACUGUCGGCAGAGGAAAUGGCGGAACUUGAAUCUAUUGCUUCGGCUAUCAAGGGUGAGAGAUACGAGUCUGACGCUGGGCUUGGUACUUGGAAAACUUCUGAAACUCCGCCUUUGUCAACCUGGAAGCGGACAUGAAGACAUACCUUUGUUAUGGCAAUAAUUCCUUCUAGCUAUGUGCCUGAUGGUGGAUUUCACUAUAUUGAGAGUUGAGUGAUAUGUAAUUGUUCCAAUAAAUUUUGACAUACUAUUGUCUCUAGGGCUAUGUCAAGUAAAGUUAUAAGAAGAAUGGAGUAUCUUCAGAGAGGUUGUAAUAAAUAAAGAUCUGGUCAUGUAAAAGCAGAAUAUAAUUUUCCUUGCAGUUGAAUGCAUUAAGAGUUAUAUAUUGUACUUUUGAAUGCUAAAGUGGUCCAUUUUUUAUGUGCUACUGCUACGAGAGUUAUAGAUUGUUGAACAGCAUUCAAUUCAGGACUUAUUAAACAUAAGCAUAUAAACAUUUUAUUCUCGGAAUAUUUACAUCAAAAGAAACUCCAAGGUCACAUCAUUGUAAAGUGUAAACUAUAUCAUAUUAAUAAAAAGCAAAAAAAAAAUGUCUAAAUGAGGAAAAAAAUGUACUAUAGAAGAAGUCAACAAUGUCAUGUAAUCAUUUUUUCCUAAAAUUGAGAUUCAAAUUUAGUUGAUUUGUAUUUUGAGUUUCCUCUUUGAUGGGAAAUGUAUCUCAGAACUUUAACUCCAGCAGUUGAUGUUUCCUACUUGGAGUACUCAGUCCACCUUGAUGCAUUGAUCUUUCCCCUGAACUUGUGCCCGUCAAACAAUAUUUCUGAUCAUCUUGAAGUAAUUAGUACCAUCUGUUCAUUACUCCCUUCUGAUUUCUUGCAUUAUAGUUUCCUCUUUAAUGGGAAAUGUAUAUCAAGAUCUACCUUCUACAAUUGAGAUUUCUUAGAGUACUCAGUCCACCUUACAAGACUGUUCUUUUCCCUGAACUUUGUUCACUUCAAACAAUACUAUGAUCAUCUUGAAGUUAUUCGUAUUGUUGUCUUUUGUAGACGACACAUGCUUUACGGCCUUUUGAAUUUCUGCAUUGCAGUUGCUUAAAUUUUGAAAUUCCUACAAUGUAGAAUAUGCAGGUAGAGAAUUUGGCAAAAAUUCAACGAAUACUAGUUGUGGGCAUCUGAAAAUGGUUAUAGAUGACAAGGGACGAUGAUUUUACUUGGAAACUUGGGUUUUUACAUUCUUGUGGUAUGUAUUACUAUACAAAAAUGGUAAAAUUAAAACAUAACCAAGUUUUGGGGUUAAAUAAGAAAUUUGAGAUAACAGGUUAGCUAAAUUUUUAAAGUGAGCCAAAGCACAAGGACUUAAUACUACAUGUUUUACUAAAAUGGGACCCACAUCUCUAAAUUCAGGCCUGUCAAGUUCAUCGAGGCGCUUCGUUUGCAAACGGACCCAUUUGUCAGCCCAAAUCAUCAAACGCUUCCUUCCUCCCCUUUUUAUUUAAUACUAGUGCGGUGUGAUUUUCAAUAUUGCCCAUAAAUGCCCAAUCAUUCAAAUUUAGAUAUUAAAUAUGAAAAGUUACAUAAAAAUGCAUUACUAUCUUUGCAGUUAUGUUUUUGUAAUUUUAUUAAAUAGUAAAAAUAAGCUACAGUCUUAGCUUUUCAUAGUUUUAGAAGUUUUUUUUCAUAAAAGGAACUUUAAAAUAAUAUACAAUCAUACAAAAUGAAAAUAAAAUCCCCAAACAGUCAUCUUGCAACUAAAAGAUGGUGGGACAUAACAUCAUAAUAAAAGAUAUCUUGUUGUUAGCAUCCUAUACAUUAGCUAAACAAUCUACCAUCUGAUUUGCUUCACUGCUUACAUGCUUUGAUCAAGACUUGCUGCCAAAAUACGAUAAGACACCUACAAUCAGAUAUAACCAUAGCACAUUGUAAAUAGCAGUAUCAUAUUGGUUUAAAAGAUUAAAAAUAUUAAUAGCAUAAACUUCUAAUUCCAGUUUGUAGCAAUAAUGAUCUAUGAAGAUUGGAAGCUAUUCCUGAUCGUUUACUGAUCCGAUGGUCCAAAAUCCAUAUUAAUUCCUUACAACUACAGCAACUCCAAGAUUGCCUUUUGAAACCCUACCAGUGAUAAGUUUUCAAAAGCCAUCCUUAGGACGAGUCUCUAUAGAAUCAUAACUUCAUAUUUUUCCCUAGCCAUGGUCUGUUUGGGUUCUGAGGAGUAAUUAGAGGUAUUCAAAAGAGGAAAGGAUUGCGGUUUGCCAACAUAGAAAGAUUAGAUUCGUUUUGAUAAUUCAAUGAGGACCAACCAGUGAAAGAAAUCACAAUGCCCCAAAGAACUUGAAAAAUGGUGAAGGGUUUUUUGCUAGGUAUGCUUUUUUUUUUUUUCAUUCAUUCCUCACAGCUUAAAUGAUGAUCAAUACCAAUCUCCCAAGACAAGCGUCCAUGUAAUAAAAUCAGUAAACAGAAUAACUUUUCAAUUUAACUUGAGAGAAGAAAAUGUACAACCGAAGCAAAUCUCACGAGGAAUAGAAAAAACCACUGUUUGGAUAUAUAACUGAAGCUCAUUUCUCAGCACAUCUUUAUCAAUAAUACAAUCAAGAUAUGCCAAAUUAGGUGAGAGAAACUAUUAGGUGAGAGAUGUUACAAAUCUAAGAGAACAUCAUGUUUUGUAAAUACAUAUUUAAAUCAACUAAAACUGAAUUUUCUAACAAGAAUUUCUAAGCUACCAAACAUCAUAGUCUAUGAUUAAAGAGGCAAAACUACAGUUAUGCAGUAAGUUAAUUCUUUUUUCGGCAAAUGAAUAGAACAUUUAAGGUGUUAAAACAAUAACUUACUAUUUCAAGCAGGUGCUUAGAAUCUAAUAUUUGAGAAUCCUUGUGUUGGGCAAAACUUUAACCACCUACAAACAGGAAAACUAUUUAUAAGAUCCAGUGAAUCAGAAACAAUUAAUCAAAAAAAGAUUGCUGAAAAUACUUGGUUUAAUAUCCACUUAAGGCUCAUAAAACAAAUAUUCAAAAGGUUUUAACAAAGACAAUUUUCUUUGCUAAAAAACAAAAAAAUUGAACACAAAGCAUUCAAAAGAGUAGCAUCCCAAGAUCUUUUGUAACUCAAAAUUUUGGCCAAUGACCAACUUGGCAGAGAAGUUCCUGAUUCCUAGAGAAGAAAUUCAUUAGUUCUACAAGUGUUGGAAACCCAAUGAAGGAAAAAAAAACAGAAGAACUGAAGCAAAAAGAAAUACAUUUUGAAGAUGAAGAAAUAUAUUUUAAACAAGUGUAUCUUUUAGUUACCAUAGGGAAUGUUUUUUUUGAGCAGAUCAACAAAAUACCUACGUGAAAGACGCCAAAAAAUGAUUAAAAAGAAAAUUUGAAUGAGUUUGAAAAGAGCAAAGGCCAUUGAAAAUGACCAAAGAGAAAAGCAUACCAGGUCUCAAAAGAGCAAUUUAAAGGAAAAAAUUAAAUCAGAAUGACACAACAAAACUUACGUUUUGUCUCACCAGUUGUUCUUCACAGGUGGCCAUUUUUGCUUCCAACUCCAGAAGAAAUCCAAGAAAGGCAAAAGCUUAGGUUGAGCUAAAUAAACAAAAGGUCAUUUUCUUUAGCAAAUUAUAGGCACAUAAGUAGGUGAGAUAAUUUAAGAGAGUACUCAAGUUUUGAGACUUCAAUCUUACCAGUCUCAAAUGCAAGUAAGAAUAACAUAAAUCAUCUACAACCAGACAACACCAUGGAAAAGAAAAUUUCCUAAACAAUCCAACUUGUAAAAUUACUUAAGAGGUAAUCUAUAAGCUUAAGCAGCAGUCCAUCGGAGGGGAAGAGCUUAUAUUGUCCUCUAGGCAAUGCAAUAAAUGAAGGAAAAUAUAGGCUGCAAAACCAUGUAAAACUCAUAGUUGGCAAGGGUAGCCUCAGCACAAGUUAGGACACUACUGAGUCAUGAGAAAUUUUGUGAUUACAUCUUUAACAGACAUUAUUCAUGAAGCAACAAUAUACAUUGGCAAGUAGAACACAAAAAUGAAAAUCCUUUCCCUUACAAUGCUUGGUAAUGAACAAAACGGAAAGAUGAUUACCAACUAUCACUAAGAAGCUCUAUUUUGUUUGGCUAUGAGCUCAAAACUAUCACUAAAAGAUUAUCGUUAAGCACCUGAUGAUCCAAAUGUCCAAAUAGUGGAAAAUAUACAGGAAUACAAGAUUUAUUAUUCAAUCCUUUAUCGCUAUGUAAUAGUUGUACCCUGAGCUGAUUCGCCUAUAUAAUGGAAUAGAGAAUCAUAGAGGUUAAGCCAAUACCUUAAAAUUCAAUAACCACAAAAAAUUGCACAAGAAAGUAAUACCUUAAGGACCACUACGAGCUAAAAGAUUGCAACGACUAUGGCAGUUUUUUUCCUUCAUGAUUAGUAUAUCAAUCUAAUAAAAUUCCCCACAAAUUAGAGAUCAAAACAAAGUAAACAUUGAAUUUGCUAGAUCCAUAAACCUAAUUACCACUUCCAUACACAAUAUAGCAAGGUCAAUGAAAAUAACACCAUUUAAACAAACAAAAAUUUACACUAUAAUUAACUAUCCAAAAUAUCAACAUUUCAAUUUCUACCUAAUGAAAACAACCUCUGAUGAGAUGUUUCUGCACAUGUGAGAAGUGCCAUUUUGUUAACAUAGUUCUGCAAUUGAGUUUCUUAAUCUGAGAAGUCACCAUGAAAGAAAAGAAAAGCUUGAGUUUAGUCAGAUUUACCAAUCCAAUAUCAUCAUUCCUGAUGAUGGAGUGCUUUAUUAUGCGCUUGCAGCUAUCAAAGUAGUCAUAGCAGAAUGAAAUAGAGUAGCUCACAUAAAGGCCAAUCGGGACUUAUGUACUGCACUUGGAAUUGAUUUUUCUAUCUUCCAACCAAAUAGUGUUUGCUUAUUAGUGUAUUUCAGGUAAUAUCUUGAUGUAUUGUUGUGGGUAUUCCCUUUGAUGCUGAUCAAUUGUUGUGGGUAUUCCCUUUGAUGCUGAUCAAUCGAAAGGAAGCUCAUUAGAAAAAAAGGGAUAAUAAGUAUAGAUAUGUUUAUGACCCUGUGAGGUGAAUCGUGCACCACUCCAAAGAAAACAAAAAAAAAAAGGAUAAAAACCAUCCGUUGAUUGUAUAUCUCAAUUCCUCAUCUUGUAACCAGGAAAAAUGGAUAUGUAGAAACCAAAAAAAAGGGUUCCGAAGAAGGAAAAAAUACAGUACUAUAUAUAGUUUAUAGACAUCACCAAACCAGUAACUUUGAGUGCGGAAUUUCUAGGAGAUCAUGAGAGAGUGAAGCACAAAAAUAUAAAGAGAAAGUGGAGUUAUACAGUACCCAUACCACAUGGCCAAAUCUAGUUAAUAUUUUCUUUUCUUGACUGCAGCAAACUGAGAAAAAUUCUCAAGGGAAAAAAUUUUCAGAACAUAACGUGAACUUUAUAAAUACCAGAUUUCUGAGAAACAAAACAACAGACCUGGAAAAGUAAAAAUCAUGCUGAAAGAUAAAAUUGACUCCAAAUUUCCGACUGCUAUCAGCCAAGAAUCGAAAAAAUAAUUAGCCAGUACUUCUAAAAAAUAAUUAUUGGCUGAUUAUAAUUAGCCAAGAGAAAACCACCAAAAAAAGGCCAAAAUCCUAAACUUACAAUUAGCAAGCACCGAUUGUUUAUGCUUGAUCCCCCCCCACCAAAAAAAAAAAAAGGAUUGAGACAGGCUAAUGCAUUUCAAACAUUAGCAGUCAUGCAUUAGAAAAGCAACAAGUUAACCACAGUAUGUGACAUUAAAUGUUGGCAAAUUCAUCUGCUAAAUACAUUUUCUCACGUCAUCCUAAAAUUUCUAAUUCCCAUCCUGCUUAGUAAAAUAAAAUAAAAAUACUACAAUAAAACAUCACCAGAAUGAGAAAAGCAUCAAUUGUGUGACUACAAAAUUAUGUGCAAGUAGAUGGAAAGUAAUAAAAACUUUAAGAAUUGUGUACUACCAUCCAUAAACCAUUCACAAUUUGAAGAAAUGUAAGCUCAUUUAAGUAUCUUGUUCAAAUCUACAAGAAAUUUUAGCACCAUCAACCUGCAAAUUACAUACAAACAAGCUCAAAUUUGGAUGGAAUCAACCAUAAUUAAUGCAAACUAAGUACUACAUUUCAUCACGAACCAAAUUUAACAAAAAAAUAAUUACUACUAUCACCUUUUUGGACGAAAACAUUAUGCAUUAUUAUCAUUUUCAUAUCCAAAUAACUACCUUUACCAAGCAUCCACCUCAUUGUAAGAAUUGUGUACUACCAUCCAUAAACCAUUCACAAUUUGAAGAAAUGUAAGCUCAUUUAAGUAUCUUGUUCAAAUCUACAAGAAAUUUUAGCACCAUCAACCUGCAAAUUACAUACAAACAAGCUCAAAUUUGGAUGGAAUCAACCAUAAUUAAUGCAAACUAAGUACUACAUUUCAUCACGAACCAAAUUUAACAAAAAAAUAAUUACUACUAUCACCUUUUUGGACGAAAACAUUAUGCAUUAUUAUCAUUUUCAUAUCCAAAUAACUACCUUUACCAAGCAUCCACCUCAUUGUAAUAUAACUCCUUUCCCCUUUACUCAACCCCUAUAGCAUUAUGUAACUCACUUUUUACAUUAUCAUCAAGUAAAUAAAAACAGAUCAUUAAUUGAAGCCGUCCCGCUCAAGGAAUAAACACUUGCAUUACAGCUCCCUACCCAUCCUAAACUUGGCAUCAGACCACAUCAAUUUGCAUAAAUGAUUAUUCUAAGCAAUUAUUUCAUGUGAACAGAUACGGGCCAUAAAUGUACAUACAUAACAAAACAAAAAAUUGCAUUUUCCAUGUAAAAAUGUGAAUAUGGCAUUUUUCCCAAGGACUAAAUUUUCUCAUACUCAACCUUACCAUAACUUAAUAGAAAACUCAUUAUUCUUGCCUAAAAUCUAAUAAAAAAACCUUUUGCAGGUAGUGUAGGUAAAUGAUCUAGUGUAUUGCUGGCAUAAUAAAGCUCUAAUAACUUGACAAAAUUGUAAACCCACUAAUAAGUAUUCAUUAGCUAAAAUGAGUCUUAUUUUGAAAAUACUCCAGAAUAUUCAUGUUUUUGCACGAAUAUACCUUGGCUCUGCAUUUUUCAGUAAUUAUUGCAAUAGCAAAAUGAAAAGAAAUGCUUGCAAAAGAUCCCCUCAUCUGAUUUAAAUAAAUAAAAAAAAAAAGCAAUCUGUUCCAAUACAAAUCUAGAUUUGGUCACAAUGAACGAGAACCAAUCUGUCAUGCCAUCGACAUAAAACAUAUACGAUCCAAAAUAUUCAGUUCAAGAGAAUUAACCAACUAAUUAAAAACAUUGCCUGCAAUUCAUCAAUUUGUUAUAAUAAAAAUAAAAAAUUCACCAUAAUUGCAUUCACAAAAUAGUCACACCAAGGACAACCUCAAGAAAAUAUGUGAUACCCUAUAUUAAAGAACAGCAUAUGGUAGAAUUUGUUGAUUCACAUACCAAUUCAAGUUCAAUGGUAAAUUAGAACAGCCAAAAUUGUUCAAAAUACAAAGAAAAUAACAACUUGGGAUCCAUUUAUCUCUAAUGGCAGCUUGCUCAACAAAAUCCGCUAGCAAGGAGGCACCGGCCUUUUCGUUCACUGAUAUUGCAAUGACAAAUGCAAGAAAAAUCAGAAUGAUUUAGUAAUUUAUUCAAGACGGCACAAAAAUGGAAAAACAAGACCCAUAACUCAGUAUCAUAGAGUGCCAACAACCAACUAUAAAAUUCUUAAAUUGGCAUAUACUCGUAUCUAGAACCACAGGUACAAGAAAAUUUAAAUGCAAAAUCAUAUCCUAACAUGAAUAUGAAUAUUAACAUGACAAUGAAAACAACAACCACAUCAUAGUAGCUCUAUUAGUUUUUUUUUUUUUAAGAAGGUAAUAAUAUGAUCAUUCCUUUCUUAAAACUUUGAAUCCAUUACCUUAAUUAAUCCAAUCUCCUUAGUGUUGCUGCGGAAGCAUUGUCUGCACCACAUCAAGUCAUACUUUCUGAUAAUACCAUGGGAGUUUCCACACACAAGGCUGUCAAAACAAACCAACGUAUAACCAUAAGCAACAAGUCAAAUCAUCAAAUAAUUCAAUCAAGUAUUUAAAAAAGAAAAAGCACCAAACCACCAGGAGGAGAAAAUAUCCACGUGGUUAGGUACAAUUCUUAAAAUGCCAUAGUGAAUAAUACCGUUAUCACUACAAAAUACUACUUACAACAGCUUACUAAACUCCCAAAAUUCAGUCGAGCCAUCAACGACACAAGACUUUUUUAGCAUGAAAAUCACAUUGACCCGUCAUUAGGACCAAUUUAACUUGAAAACAAGAUUAUAUACCAUAUGAUCUAGUAUACAAGGCAGUACACCAUGAACCUACAAUUUCUUGAAAUCCAAUCAAGGACUCCAGCAUCACUGAUACAAACACCAGAUUAUACUGGUAGACAAAACCACAAUAAAUGGGACUAAGAAUGAUAAAAUAAAAAAAGAUUCAAGAACCCCACAUGAUAAAUAUUCAGACAGAAUUAGACAACUGAAAAAAGAUGAAAAGCAAGUACUUUAUUUCAGGAACAUUGAUCUGCUUUUUCUAUUUUCUUCCUUAAACUGAGAAGGUUCAAGAAGCAUGGGAAACAAUGUUAAAGAAUACACUUUUUUGAGAAAAUAACCUUAUAGAAUCUACCUUCAAAAGGGAUAAACAAAACUUACAAAACCGCAUGAAGAUGGUGGAGGAAAUUUCCAGAUUAUGUACCUGCAACAUCACAACAUCAUAAAAGGGAAAAAAUUAGACAACUAAUCUGGUAAAUAAUAGGAGAUAAAAAAUACCAAAGGGCCAAAUAUCUGAGGAAAGGACACGAGGUGUCAGAAAACACAGCAAUCAUGAUACUUAUGCAAUAGCAAUGAAAUGGAGGCUACAUUUCCAAAAGAGGGCAGUAAAUGCAACAGCACAAGUAUGAUCAGUCUGGAACAAAAUUUUCAUUAUAUGCUAAUUCAGAGCCAAUUACAAUGUCACAGAGUAACAGGCAAUAGACAUGAAACUUCCAAUACAAGCCCUUACACAUAAACUCCCAAUUACAAGGCUAAUUUGUAAGAAAUUCCUGGGGAAGUGUCACCAUAGCAAAAAUAAAAGAACGUUAACUGAUUUAAUCCAGUUCUUUGGAUUAUAGGGAUAACAGCACAUUUUCUGUGUCCUAGUUGGUCCAAACAGAGACAAAAGAAAUCUGGCAAAAUUAAAACAGAGAGGACGAAGCUACAAUCUUUGCAAUUUCAAGGCCUAUACAUUUAAAAUAACGUUAACGACUACUGAUGAUGGUCUUUUUUCAUUUAAAUAGGUUUUGGGAACAUUUUCAGUUCAAAUAUGUCUGAAAUUUUCUAUAUUUUUGUCUAAUUUCUUUCCAUAACUUUCCACAGAAAAAAAGUGCAUAUAAUAAGUAGAAAACACAAAACAACAUUUCACCAAAAAAGAGAAAUGCAUUCUUAUAGAAUCCCAUCAAUAAUACAAAGAAUCCCAUCAAUAAUUUCAAUUUCAUAACUCUCAUUAAAAAGAAACAAACAAAAUUCGAAUCAGUGAUCAAAACUUGAACUUCAUAAACGUCCAUGCACUAGUCUAAUGUUGGCGAAUUCUGGGACUUGUGCAUAAUAUUUACUAUAGUUUCUUGACCUAAUAUAAGUUUGCCAGUGUCAAGUGAAAAAGGCGAAUAAUCUGCAACUCUAACCAUCAAAUGCUACCACCACGAGAUGGGUUAAAAAUUCUUCCGAGUGCAGUUCAAGAACUCAGUAGAGGCGAACAGAGGGACUUACGUGAAAGGAACUGCUUAGAAUCAGAGGGAGAAGAGGGACUUACGAGAGCAGCACUAAUCAGCGGGGACAACACUGGCAAGUGGCACGAGAUGUCAGAAAUAAUAGGAGAAAAAGAACUAAAAGACUAAUAAACAUAGUUCGGAGAAAAUGAAGCAAUAAGAGAAUUUGAAGCAAAAAAAUUCCAGCCAACUUUUCAAUUUUGUUGUUGUCUAUCAGAAAGAAAUUGGAGAGAAAAAGUGCAGCUUUCUUCGCGAUGAUGAGGAAGAAGACGAGAAGAAAGAGAGCAUGGGUCAGAGAAAGGGAGUCGGAUGGCUAAUUCUUCCUUUCAUAAAAAAUAAUUGAUGGCUAAUUGAUGGGUUAAAUUAAAAUAAAAAAUAAACUUACAGACCCGAUUAGGCUGAAAAUCCAUUCUCUUCUCUUCAUCUGCUUAUUCUUCUUCUCAUCUUCUUCCUCUGAUCAGGGAAAAAAUUAAACAAAAAAAGACUCACAGAACCAGCUUAAAUUUCACGAAAAAAAUGUAAAACAAAAGCAUACAUGUUCUGAUGAAGAUCCAUUUUUCCCCUUUCUACUUCUUCUUUUCAUGGCUUACGUUUUUCUUUGUCCCAUUUCUCUUGCUGUAAUAUAAAUCCAACAGAUAGACAUGAUAUCUGGGAAAAAAAAAUUGAACUCAAACAGGUGGGCAUUCGACAGUUGGACUGUUGUUGGCUUGUUCCAGUGGAAGAAAAGCAAAGAGGGGAAGAAGAGAGGAAGAAAUGAAAAGAGGAAAGAGAAAGAUGGAACCUUUCCUGGUCUCGAGCUCAUCGGCCAAAAGAGAAAUCGUGUGGCUUGGAAAAGGAAACAAAAAUUGAAUGACAAAGAAUACAAACGGCAGCGGUGGUUUACCAAGGCACAGCUAUCCCAAAAAGAAGAUAAAUGAACAUGGCAACCAGGGCAAAUGAGUAAGACAUGACCCGUCACAUUGAGCUCAGUAACUACUCCAAUUUUUAUCACAAUUUAUUAGUCCAAUCGGUGUCACCAAAAGGCUGCAAAUAGGUACGGUGGGAAGAGAAAUGACCCAAAUGUUUGAAGAAAAAGGACAGCUAUUAAUUAUUGCUCUUUUGGUGGGUUCCAUACAGCAAAACACUCAGGCUUACAAACGCACGACCCAAUUUGCAGCCUCUGCAUUUAAAAAAAAACAAACACACACACACACAUGGACGAACCCACUCUAGCCAAUAAUAAUUGGCCACAUCAGCAAAACAACCAUCCCUUUUGAGCCAUGGCAUUCGCUCUUUUAUACAUAUGUUAAUAAACCCGAUACGACUUCCUGAUUAUUCCAGGAUCCAACAAUUAAAACUUUACACACAAAUAAAUGGUCAAAUUCACUUAAAAAUUGUGGGGUCAUCUUCCACAUUAAACUUUUGUACUAUCCAAUCGCCACUACUUCAAAUUAAUUUGGACCGUAAGUAAUGUCAUUACUUUCUGUGAAUAUCAAAUAUGAAAAGUGCAUUAUAUAUAUGAGGAAAAAAAAUAAAAUGUACUAGUUUUCAAUUUCUUUAUGUAGAAUAUUUUCUUGAAUAUUAAUUUUUGAUAUAUCUUAGUCAAGGUCAUUAAUCAACCCGGACCUAAUCAACUCCAAACCCAGGGCAAAUUUCUUUAAAAUAUUGCCAAAAAGAAGUUCGAAAAAUAUUGUUGAAAAGUUGAGUAUUUUUCUAUCCAGGCUCGUAGUAUCUCUGACAUGCAGUGGACUAGUUCACUAGUUCCAUUUUCUUUUUAUAAAAGCAGUCUGUUUGCCAGACACAUGGUGAGCCACAUUUAAAAAUUGAUUUCUAUCAUAAAGCCUAUCAUGUCCGGACAGAAGAUGGACUGUUUUUUAAAUUUUUUAUUGAAAGCAAGUGAAAAGUGUUGCAACUCAGGACUUGGAUAGUAAUUCUAAAAUUUAUUAGUGCACCUAGCUUUUAACUUUUCGUGUGCUUUUUAGGUAUCAAAUGGGGGAAAAAAAACCAACACCAUAUAACUUCAAAUGCAAGAUGGUACGAAAUUUGUAUACAAUGACAUGUAAAAAGUGGACCGUUCAUCACAAAGAUAUUUAUCCUAAUAUUAGAUUCAUUUUUUCAAAAAUUCAACUUUGCAUGCAAACAUGUAAUCAAUAUGCAUAAAUAGAUAGCAUUAGAUGAAUUUAAACAAGUAGCCUUCAAAUUUAAAAAUAUUUGAUUUCAUAAAGGUGCAUUCGCAAUUUAAAAAAAGUACUUUUCAAAUGGCAACUCUAGAGAACAAGAAAUACUCCUACUUUAUUUUGAUUUCAAAUCUUCUUUUGACUUGUCAAAAAAGUGAAAACACGAAACCAAUAAUGGGUCAGAUAGAGAGAAGUAUUAGAAAGAGAAAUUUGUCAAAUUGAUCCCUAAUAUUUAUACAAAAAUUUUUUUUAGUCCCUAUAAUUUAAAAUCAGUCAGAAUAGUUAUUAACAUAUAAAUUAUGAUUCAUUUUGGUUCUAAUGCUCGUAUUUGCUCAUUUCUUUUACUAAAAAUAGCACGCCUCUCUCACGUGGACAUAUUUUCAAGGGCAAAAUUGAAAAACACAAGCUUUUCUCCCCUUUUCAAGGAUAACAUUUUCGCAUAUUUUUCUUUCCAUGUUCUGAAAUUAGGGCUUUUCUCCCCUUUUGCUUCUGGUCAUGGACUCUUUGCUAUCGAGCUACGUCUCUUCCGAUGAAGAACAAGAAGAUAAACCACAGCUCUCAAAUCCCAGUUCCGCUGGAUUCCUCUCCUCACUGCCACCCCCAAAAUCUUCAUCAUCAUCUUCUUCCUCAUCCAUCUUCUUUCCAUUUCCCCCACCCCCAAUCCCACCCCCCAAAGCCCCCCAUCUCAUCGCCUUCCUCAACCCUGAAUCCACAUAAAUCUAAUGAACUUCAAGAAGAGAGGGAUGGGCAGCAAUUGCUAAAAAAUUGGGAAAGUUCGAGAUUUUUUAUAUCACUUCCAAAACCAUUGUCAUCUUUGUUCGCUUGGUUUCCUCAACCCAAAUCAUCUUCCACGUCAUCUCUUUUCUCUUCUCUUCCGUAGCCCACCAAAACCCACAAUCUUGAUGCCCGGGUUUCGCCUCCUGUGCAAUUUGCUAGAAAGAAGGUGGUGGUGGUUCCUUGGCAGUUGGAUCACACAGCUUUAAUGGAAAGGUGAUGGAAUCAAGCUCGCCGGGUUUAAUGGUGGUGGUUCCUUGGGGGAUCAACAGCAGCAGCCACACCGCUAAAGGGAUCAAGCCUCAAAUUGACGCGGGUGCUUUUCAGUUUGAGGAGAAUAUACUGAAGUAGCAGCAGCAGAAGCUUCAAUUCCACAUUUACACUGAAAAUAAUAGUGUUUUCUAGUUUUGUCCUUGAAAAUAUGCCCACAUGAGAGAGACGUGCUAUUUUUAGUCGGAGAAAUGAGCAAAUACGAGUAUUAGGAUAAAAAUGGAUCAUAAUUUAUAUGUUAAGAACUAUUUUGGCUGAUUUUAAAUGUUAGAGACUAAAAAAAUUUUUUGUGUAAAUAUUAGGGACUAAUUUGACAAAUUUUUCUAUUAGAAAUUUGUUUUCUAGAUUCUUUGGUUUCCCAAUUUUUUCAACGGGUCAACUCGACCAUUAUCACAUUCAUGUGAUUGUAGGUCUACCACGCUUCAUAGUCCAUAACGUGGAUUGGCACCACAAAAGAUGGUGUCAAAACACUUUUUUAGUUUAGUAAGAUCUGUGUAUGUAUUAGUUCCUAACACAAGUCUCUUUAGAUUUUCCCUCCUUUGUAAUUUAGAAUAAAAUAGGUUAUACAAUUGUUAUCGUCUCCAGAAAAAAAAGGAUAAGUCCCACCCUAUUAUUAUUUUUCUUUUAUCAAUCAACAACGCCUAUUCUACACCUAUUUGACUUCUAUUCUAGGGGAAAGGGAGGUCCAACUGGAAAAUUAAUGGUGAUUGAACCACAAUUAGACCAAAAACUUUCUAGAUAAAAUUUGAUCUAAAAAAUAAAUAAUAAUAUAUUAACUUAUUAUUUAAUGCGAUACAUAUUCAAAUAGAUUAAAUUUAAUAAUUUUAAAUUUUAAAUUUUACAUUUUAAAUUUUAAUUUUCAAACUUCAAUGUUGCCAUACUUACAACAACAACCUCUAGAUGGUCAACACUUAGAGUCGUAGCCCUUGCUUUUGGCAUUCCCUGGUCCAUAUGCUAUGUUGUUAUCAAUGAGGAAGCAAAUGUCCGCUAUUAAUUACACGAGACAUCAGUCAAAUCAGUCAAAAGAUGUUAUUGAUUGAACCAAGUGGGCAAAUUGAAUGAACCACCAGCUCCACCAAGCCCUUAAGGCUUCGGUAACCUUGCCUCCCAUUAAAAUGUCAUUCUUGUGGCUUUUCUUCAAAUUUAGAUCGGUGUAUUGUGCACCCGUCUGAUCCAGUGGUGAUUCUGUUCUCAUCGAUCUUUCAUAAGCUCAAUUGAGCCUUCCUGUAAUUAGAAUAGGUGUAGGAGUAAGGAUGACAAUUGAUUAAAAAAAAAAAAAAAGUGAGCAAAUUGAGCGAGGAUGCGUAAUUGACCUGGAAGUCUUGGCAGACUUGGAGGAAUCAAUCAACAUUCUCUAACUUGAAUGAGGUAAGCACAAAGGUAAGCAUUUUCCAUUUUUAUUUUGGUUUUCAUUUCUUGUAUACUCUAAAACUUUUUUCAUUCUACCCCACGCACAUAUAAUAUAUAAUGAAAUGUAAAUUUUUUUAUGAAAACAUAUAAAAUAUAUAAAAUGAAAAAUAAAUUUUUUAUAAAAACAUAUGUUUAUAUUUAUCUUUGUAUAAUGAAAAUAUAUAAUUCAUUCUACCAAUAUAUACGCAUAUAUAUAUAUAUAUAUGUAUAAUGAAAAAUUAAAUUUCUCCUUCAUCUUCAAGGCUGCACCUACAAACAACAAAACUCCGCUCCACUCAACUCUUUCCUUCGUGUUUUGUGUUUUUUUAUAAAAAACAUAUAUAUAUAUAUAUAUAUAUAUAUAUAUAUAUAUAUAUCUUUUAAGUUUCACUAAUUGUUUUGUUUUUUACUAAUAUUACCUCAUGAGAGGUAAAAAGGGUAUAAAUGGAACAACAUUAUUAUCUCAAUUUCCAAAAGACUUUUUUAAUGGUACUUUUUCGAACAUGGGUUGAAGCUAUUAUCAAAAUCUAGUUUAGGAAAAAUUAGUGCUAUUUUUCAAAAUUUAGGAAAGCUGAGUACAACUGUUAGAAAUCUCAGGGACGGUUUUUGCAAUUAUCCCUCAAAGCAUAGACCAAGACUACACUAAUCCCUAAAAAUUUGACACCUAUUUCUUAUAACUAUACUAGAUAAUUUCAUAAUUGUAUAGAAAAAUAAAUUAAAAUUUAUUAUACAAAGGUAUUUUUGGAUAUUUAUUUAAAAAUUUGAUCAAAUUAAUAUUAUUUUAAAACUUUAUUACAAAAACUAUCAAAUCAAAGGAAGUAAGCGUAAUAUUUCAAACCUUACAGUAAAAUUGUUAGAAACCUCAUAGAGGUUCCUGAAAUUAUCCCUAAUAUUUUUUUUUGUACAAAAAACUCCAAAAAAAGUGGCAGCUCAAACGGGGCCAACAAUCUACUAUGUUUGCCUGUUCUCCCGCCGGACCCACCAGCCGCCGGCGGCCAUGGGUCAUCUAUAAAAGCAUAGAUCAAGACUACACUAAUCCCUCAUCAGUCCAGUCCAUCCAUAAUUGCAGAAACUGGUAGGUUUUGUAUUUAACAAAAAUAUGAGACUUUGUAGAUUUUGAAGUUUAAGGAAUGGAUAUUUGAAGUUUAACGAUCGUUAUACAACUUUCAAAACAAAUAAAUCCAUUCUAAUUUUUUUUUGGAUAAUUUCAUAAAUCAAAUCGUGGUCACUUUCGCAAAAGUCAUAUUUUUCCAUAAAAGACCAGCUCUUUAUGGCUUUCCUCCAUUAUAAAAACAUAGUACCCAUUUUUCCAUAAACAAAUUUAUUUAUCGAAUAAAAUAAAAAUAAAUCCGUUUUCCAAUAAAACACCAGCUCUUUAUGGCUUUCUUCCAUUAUAAGAAUAGAGUAACCAUUUUUUCAUAAACAAAUUUAUUUAUCGGAUAAAAUAAAAAUAAACCCGUUCUCCAAUAAAACAUGAGCUCUUUAUGGCUUUAGAAUGAAGGGUUACUCCCUCUUGUUUGAUAUAUCUGAACCUCUUGUUUAAUUUAAAAAUCACCACCAUCAUUCUUGUUUGAUAUAUCUGAACCUUUCACAUUUUUACCAGUUUUUUUCCCUUUUUUUUUCUCUCUUUCAAUUUCCUAAAGAUUGAUGAAAUCUUUGCAGGUCCGAAUAAACCAAAGAACGAAAAUCCAAUCAAAAAGUUCGAAAUUAAAGUUUAAAGGAAUGGCAACCUCAGAAGUCGUUCUCCGGUGCCUCCCUCGUCCCUCACGUCGCAGUAGUCACCAAGUCUUCAGCAGUCAACAAGUCUUCAGCAGUCAACAUCCAAAGCUUAUAAAGUAGCACGAAUACUAUUGUAUAUAAGAACUUAAAUUUUGCAUCCGCGAGGGCGGCAGAAGUCAAUACUCCAGGAGGGACUAGGGGCAGAGGGCGGCCGCCGCCGAGGGAAGUGGGAACUGGCUAUAGAAGGUCAUCGGGUGGUGGACUAUGAGGAGAGCAAAGGAAUAUCAAUUGAGAGUGCAGCGUAUGAUGGAGAGAAAGAGAGGGUAUGUCCGUCAUAAAUGUUGUCUGAGGGAAUAAGUUGAGAGUUUUGUCCAAAACUUCCCAAUUUGCUCGAGAAUGGGAUAAGUCAGAUUUUUUAGAAAUGAUUCCAAAAAUUACAUUCCAAUAGGCUUAACCCAAGCAACAAAUAAAGGGUUUAUUCCAUUCUGUGAUUCCCAAACCCUUUAACCCAAUAGCCCCUUAAUAUUUUUUUACUAAUAUUACCUCAUGAGAGGUAAAAAUGAUAUAAAUGGAACAAAAUUAUUAUCUCACUUUCCAAAAGACUUUUUUAAUGGUACUUUUUCUAACAUGGGUUGAAGUUACUAUCAAAAUCUAGUUUAGGAAAAUUUAGUGCUAUUUUUCAAAUUUUAGGAGAGGUGAGUACAACUGUUAGAAAUCUCAGGGACGAUAUUUGCAAUUAUCCCUAAAAGCAUAGACCAAGACUACACUAAUCCCUAAAAAUUUGACACCUAUUUCUUAUAACUAUACUAGAAAAUUUCAUAAUUGUAUAGAAAAAUAAAUCAAAAUUCAUUAUCCAAAGAUAUUUUUAGAUAUUUAUUUAAAAUUGAUCAAAUUAAUUAUUUUAAAUUUUUAUUACAAAAUCUAUCAAAUCAAAGGAGGUAGGCGUAAUAUUUCAAACCUUACAGUAAAAUUGUUAGAAACCUCAGAGAGGUUCCUGAAAUUUUCCCUAAUUUUUUUUUGGUACAAAACCCUCCAAAAAAGUGGCAGUUCAAACGGGGCCAACAUUCUCCUAUCUUCACAAGUCCUCCCGCUGACCCACCAGCCGCCGGUGGCCCCGGGUCAUCUAUAAAAGCAUAGACCAAGACUACAGAAAUCGUCCAGUCCAUCCAUACUGUAAGGCCCGGUGCAACCCAAUGAGUACAAACAAUUUCACAAUGAUGCACAAAGAUAUAUCAAAUUUAAGCACAAUAAAGAAAACUUAAUUAAAGAGAAAAGAUAAGAAAUGCAAACCAAAUAUCAAUCCAAUAGCCUCUUCAAUUGAUGGCGAUGCUAACCAAGAUGUACAAGUGAAGGCUCACUCCUUCCUCACCCCAAACACUCUUUGGUUGAGCCAAGGAGUUUUACAACUAUUCUAGUUAACCCUCAACAACUUACACUUGAAAGAUCACUCACCCAAUUAAGAACUAUUUUAUACAAAUGAGGCAACAUUCACCAAGAUUUUACCACUCCAAGUGAUAGGUUCACCUUCACCAAGGUUUUACUCCUGCUAGAGAGUAACCUUCACUUGAGCAACCUCACAACCCAACUUUCCCAACCCCUUAUACAACCAACAAAGAAUCUUUCUACUCAAAAAUCUCACUUGUAAGCUUGUAUUUUGUGUUGGCAAAAGUCUGGUGUCUUCUUGUGCUUUGGGGUGUUUAUAGAAGGUGAGAAAUGGCUCCAAAAGGCUCUCCAACGCUCAAAUAUUAAAUGCUGUCAAAACUAGCCGUUGGCUUGUCGGACGUCCGAACCACCUGUCGGACGUCCGAACCCUGCGUCCAAACCACCUGUCGGACGUCCGAACCCUGCGUCCGAACGUCGUCAGAGAGUCAUCAAAUCUUUGCGAAAUUUCUCGGACGUCCGAUGCUUUCUCACGAGCGUCCGACAAAGUUUCCUUCUGGAUGUUCUUCAUCCUUUCGGACGUCCGAUAGCUUCCUUUCGGACGACCGACAUGAGUGCCCUGUUUUUGCUUCUUCUUUUGUGCCACAAGAAUCUGUUCUAACAAAUUGCUCACAUAAAAACAUUAGCCCAAAUCUACAUUUUGGUUUGUUAAUCAUCAAAACCAAGGUCAACACAUACUUCUUCUUCAGGCCUCAGCUACUAAACAAUAAACUCUGCUCCACUCAACUUGUGCUCAAAAUAUGACAGUGACCAAUUGUUCUACAAAAUUAGUAGGAUAAGCAGUUGACAGAUUUUAUAAUCCCUUUUGGUCAAAUAUUAUUUAAAUUCAUACUUUAAUCUUAAAUUUAUAGUUGGAUGGUCCAGGAUGUGGUAAAAUUUUUCAUUCAAACUAACGAUAGUAUGAAAAAAAGACUAAUUAAUAAAAAUACGAUCUCGAAAAAUUUUUAAUUCACAGUCACAAUAUGUGAAUUCGUGAUAAAUACAAAAAAGUAUGGUACUUUGAUAAUACAAUGAAGGAAAGCCAUAAAGAGCAGGCCAUUUACGGGAAAAGUUUUCAUUAAUAAAAAUACCAACUCUUCACGGCUUUUUUACCAGUCCUUCAACGUAUGAGCAAAGUGCCAAUAAUUAAAUUAGUAAUUUUUUCGAUUUAUACAUAAUUAAUUUUUUUUUGCAUUUCCACAAAAAACAAAUGAAAAUUUUUUAUCAGAAAGCACAAAAGUCAAAAUGAUUGGUUUAAAAGGGAAAGGAAUAGCAGAUAUGUACAGUACUUGUAUUUCACGUUCGAAAUGCUACAGUGCUAUUUUUGAAAAACACCCCCAACAAAAUCUAAUCCAAACGGAACCAAUUUUCAGUAUUUAAAAUACCAAAUUUGUGAAUGUGUUUUAACUGUUAUUCAUUGGUAUCCUAAAAUAUCAUUUUUUCCAUCAAAUAUCAGCUCUUUAACACCUAUUUUCCCAUAAACAAAUUUAUUUAUCGGAUAAAAUAAAAAUAAAUAGCUAUUUCCAAUAAAUAGCUGGUGUUUUAUUGGAAAAACCCGUUUUCCAAUAAAUAGCUAUUUCCAAUAAAUGGUUGGUGUUUUAUUGGAAAACGGAUUUAUUUUUAUUUUAUCCGAUAAAUAAAUUUAUUUAUGAAAAAAUAGGUUCUCUGUUAUAAUGGGAAACAGAGUACCUAUUUUAAACAUUUCCCAUUGAAUUUGUUUUGGAUAUUUAUUUAAAAAUUUGAUCAAAUUAAUAUUAUUUUAAAACUUUAUUACAAAAACUAUCAAAUCAAAGAAAGUAAGCGUACAGUAAAAUUGUUAGAAACCUCAUAGAGGUUCCUGAAAUUAUCCCUAACUUUUUUUUUUGUACUAAAAGCUCCAAAAAAGUGGCAGCUCAAACGGGACCAACAAUCUACUAUGUUCGCCUGUUCUCCCGCCGGACCCACCAGCCGCCGGCGGCCAUGGGUCAUCUAUAAAAGCAUAGAUCAAGACUACACUAAUCCCUCAUCAGUCCAGUCCAUCCAUAAUUCUCCUAUCUCCACAAGUCCUCCCGCUGACCACCAGCCGGCGGCGGCCCUGGGUCAUCUAUAAAAGCAUAGACCAAGACUACAGAAAUCGCUCAGUCCAGUCCAUCCAUACUUCCUCUUCAGGCCUCAGCUACUAAACAAUAAAUGAUAGGUUGCAUUUUAGUGGGUAUUUUGGGCAUUAUUGCAUAAUUAAUUGACUAAAUAUUUUCGUUAAUUGGGUGGAUUCUACUGAUAUUUUGUUUUGGUGCUAAUUGCAGGAAUGGUUGCUGAAAAGCGCUUAAAUUCAACUUUUAGAAGAUUCAUCGGAGUGGGGCCCGUUUGAGAAGCGGAAAAAACCUAAUUGUAAUAGAUUUUAUUUUAAUAUAUAUUUCUAGGGAGUCUUGCUGCAAUUUUGGAGAAGUAACAAUUUGUAAUUUAUCUCUGGCGCGGCUUAGGUUAGAGGAGAGUCUUCGUUUUUGGUUUUUGAAUGAGAGGAGAGAGCCGCAGCCUGGAGGGGAAAAAGGCAACGGACAGAAGCCAUCAUUGUUGACUUGUGAGAAACGAAUUCUUCAUGUUUUGACUUGACAACUUGAGAAAUCAAGCAAUUGAGAAACUUUCACUCUCGUGUAUCUUGACUUCAAUUGGAAAAAGGAAGAAAGCUUAAAGGAGCCGCCAUUGUUGACUUUGCUCUUGGGCUGUCCUACCUUGUGCGAAUCGAAUUGGAGAACAAAAGCAAUCUCUCGUAUGUUUCCACUUAACAAUCGAGAGCAAUACAAAUUUGAGCUUUCUCCUCCUGUGGUGGACCGAAGCGGGAUAAUCGAAGUGCAAACCUUUCUCAGUUUUCCACGCGCGGUUUGUCCUCCAUUAAUGGAGGGCUAAUUCUCUAAUUCUAGUCAAGGGACAGCUGAUGAAUUGGUUCAAUUAAUGCUGUGAGAUCUAAACCGCUUUUAAUUAUUUCCUCCGUUUAUUGGUAUUUAUAUGUUCUUUGCUUUUAACUGUUAUAGCUCUUGUGUAUGAUUGAUUAGUGCGCAAUAAUUGAUUAUUCAUAUAGGCUAUUUUGCUAAAUAGAGGUAAUUGAAUCCGUAAUUGUUCGUUACCUCUAUCCCAGUAGCAACUGGUAUAAUUGGGUUUAUGUCAGGGGAAUAUAUGAUCUAGCUUAAAUAAACCCUCGUAGCGUGUUUAUUGGUUAGGAUUGGGCCUUUCUAAUUAUUAAUGCAAUCUGGAAAUUGAAUCCUACGGUCGUACCUAGGGUUGUUUUUGGGUUAGAGAAAUAGCUAACGGUCGUACCUUGGCUAUCGAUAAAUUAAGGAAUGGUUGGUUGUUUAGCGCGUGCGAGACAACUAGAACCAAUCUAUUAGUAAAUGUUGGAAUUACCUUUGAAUCAAUGAUCAGUGCAUGAACCAUUUCUGAAGUAUACCCUUGGCUAGAGUUUCUCUCAUUUAUUUCUUUUAAUUAAUUAUUUUCUGCAGUUAAUUUGUUUAGUUGGCAUUUGAUACCAAAACCCCCCAUUAAUCUUGAUUUGAAAAGAAACAAAUAUCUCUCCAGUCCCUGAGGAGACGACCCUGCUUACCACUAUCUACUAGUUAGAGAACUCAGUUAAAUAAUUGAUUCAGGUAUAUCGGAUUAAGCAAACUCUUCGGGAACAGGGUGAAUCAAGUAACCCAUUGCACACCUAGAGUCCCUGCUCCAGUACUCGAAUUGAUUACUAGCUGUUGCAGGUGGUAGUUAGGAUUUAUUUAUUAUUAUUGCACAGGUUCGGCACCUGUCAAUUUUUGGCGCCGUUGCCGGGGACUGGCGUCUGAAUUAGUUGUUUCUUUUUGAAUUCAGUUUUUAUUUUGUUUUAUUUUAUUUUUCUUUUUCUUGGUACUUUUGCUAGUUUAUGCCCCGUUCUUCUCGCACAGGUGACUUGGUAUACGAUCCUGAGGUUGAGAAGGCAGCACGUAGGCGAAGGCAAGAGACCAAGAGACAAAAAGAAGGGUACUCAUUUUCUGAAAACGAGUCAAUAGAAGACGAAUUGAGCAUGGCCAACACCCAGACAUUACGGGAGCUGGCUACCCCAGAACUGACUCAUCAGCCCUUGUGCAUCACGUUCCCAACUCUGGCUGAGAAUACCUCAUUCGAGUUGAAAUCGGGGUUGAUUCAACUCCUACCUUCGUUCCAUGGCCUUUCUGGUGAGGAACCCCACAAACAUAUCAAGGAAUUCGAAGUGGUUUGCUCUAGCAUGAAACCCCCUGCGGUCACCGAAGAGCAAAUACGACUCAGGGCUUUCCCUUUCUCUCUCAAGGAUGCAGCGAAGGAUUGGCUAUACUACCUACCUGCAGGUAGUAUCACCACGUGGGCACAGUUGAAAAAGAAAUUUCUGGAAAAAUUUUUUCCCGCAUCCCGGGUUGCGAGUUUGAGAAAGGAAAUAUGCAGUAUCAAGCAGUACUCCGGGGAAUCAUUGUACGAUUAUUGGGAAAGGUUCAACAAGUUGUGCAAGGGAUGCCCACAGCAUCAGAUUAGCGAACAACUGUUGAUCCAGUACUUCUAUGAAGGGCUCCAGUCAACUGACAGGGGUAUUAUUGACGCUGCGAGUGGAGGAGCCCUGGCGAACAAAACACCGAGGGAAGCAUGGGACCUUAUUGAAGCCAUGGCAGAAAACUCUCAGCAGUUCGGCUUCCGUGAGAGCAAUCCUACCCGUAGGGUAAAUGAGGCAGAGACGUCAUCCAUCCAGCAGCAACUGUCAGAGUUGACGUCUGCAGUCAGGCAGUUGGCCAUGAGAGACACACCGCGAGCAAAGGUGUGUGGAAUCUGUACUAGCAUGGACCACUGCACGGAUUCGUGCCCCAUUCUGCAAGAGGACGGGGCGGAACAGGUAAACAUGGCCGGAGGCAUGCCCGCGCCCCGCAGGCAAUAUGACCCGUAUUCCAACACAUACAACCCCGGUUGGAGAGACCACCCCAAUCUCAGUUACGGGAACAGGCAACAAGGUUCAUUCCCGAAUCGUCCACCAGGAUUCCACCAGCCUUGGCAACCAAAAUCUCAACCCUCAUCCUCCAAUACAGGAAGCUCUUUGGAGGACCUAGUCAAGAACCUGGCCACGACUACUACCAACCUGGCCACGACUACUACACAGCUUCAACAGGAGAUCAGAUCCUUGGCCGCGAAAACCGAGCAGCUCCAGCAGGACACCAAAGCUGACAAGAAAGACCAAGAUGUUCGAAUAAGUCAACUGGCAACUGCCAUCAACCGCUUGGAAUCUCACGUUUAUGGGAAACUGCCAUCGCAACCCGAGGUAAAUCCCAGGAAUGUAAGUGCCAUGACGCUGAGGAGUGGCAAGGAGCUGGAAGAACCUAAAGUGAAAAAUUCAAAAAGCAAAAGCGAGGAGGAGAUAGAAAAGGAAAUUGAGGAGGAAGGACGUGUUCGUGAAGAUCCUAAGGUAUCCUCCACCUCUCCACUCACUAUCAGCUCUAACUUACCCCCUUUUCCUUGCAGGUUGGAAAAGACAAGGAAAGUAGAGAGGGAAAAGGAACUUUUGGAUGUAUUCAGAAAAGUAGAGAUUAACAUCCCCCUACUGGAUGCAAUCAAGCAAAUACCGAAAUAUGCCAAAUUUCUGAAGGACCUGUGCACCCACAAGAGGAAGCUAAGGGGAGAUGAACGAGUGGCGGUGGGAGAAAACGUGUCAGCUAUACUCCAGAGGAAGCUCCCACCAAAAUGUGGAGACCCAGGUAUGUUCACCAUUCCCUGCAAGAUAGGAGGUACUCCAAUUAGGAAAGCAAUGUUGGAUUUGGGGGCGUCAAUUAAUGUUAUGCCCAAGACAAUCUAUGCAUCUCUAAAUCUUGGCCCGUUAAAAGGCACAGGCAUUAUAAUCCAACUUGCAGACCGUACCAAUGCUUACCCGGAAGGGUUAGUUGAAGAUGUUUUGGUACAGGUCAAUGAGUUAGUUUUUCCUGCAGAUUUCUAUGUCCUAGACAUGGGGGAUGAAAGGGCACUAAAUCCGUCUCCUAUUCUGUUAGGUAGGCCAUUUUUAAGCACUGCUAGGACUAAAAUAGAUGUAAAUGAGGGUACCUUGUCGAUGGAGUUUGAUGGGAAAAUUGUAAAUUUUAAUAUUUUUGAGGCGAUGAAGUACCCAGAUGAGACUAACUCUGUUUAUGCUUUAAGUGUUGUUGAGCCCCUUGUACAGGAAAUAUUUGAAUUGGAUGGGGUUGAUGCACUGGCAGUGGCAUUGACCAAACAUCUUGAGUUGGGAGCAACUCUUGAUGUAGAAAUAAAUGAUGAGCUAGACCACGCUGUUGGAGCACUGCAUUCGCUCCCACCAAUUUCCCCAAGGUAUGAGCUUACUUCUGUUUUUGUACCAGAAACUCAGGCAAAAUUGUUGCCUUCUAUUGUGCAGGCGCCUGAGUUGGAGCUCAAACCUCUCCCAAAGCAUUUGAAGUAUGCUUUUCUCGGGGACAAUGAGACACUGCCAGUCAUCAUAUCUGCACACCUGUCACCAGGGCAAGAAGAUAGACUAAUUCGCCUUCUUCGAGAUCAUAAGGAGGCGAUUGGGUGGAGUGUAGCAGAUAUCAAAGGAAUUAGCCCCUCCUUAUGCAUGCAUCGAAUCCGGCUUGAGGAUGAUGCAAAGCCAGUUAGACAAGGGCAACGGAGAUUGAACCCACUAAUGAUGGAAGUGGUCAAGAAGGAGAUACUUAAACUCCUAGAAGUUGGAAUAAUUUUCGCCAUCUCAGAUAGUCCCUGGGUGAGUCCCGUGCAAGUAGUCCCGAAAAAGGUGGGAGUAACAGUUGAGGAGAACCAAGAGGGUGAGAUGGUCCCGGUGAGGAAACCCACAGGAUGGCGUCAGUGCAUUGACUAUCGGCGUCUGAAUGCUGUGACAAAGAAGGACCACUUCCCUCUACCUUUUAUUGAUCAGAUGAUAGAAAGGUUAGCUGGCCGUGUCUAUUACUGUUUUCUUGAUGGUUUCUCUGGUUAUUUUCAGAUCGUAAUAGCACCAGAGGAUCAGGAGAAGACUACCUUCACCUGUCCCUUUGGUACAUUUGCCUACCGGAGGAUGCCUUUCGGCCUCUGCAACGCCCCAGCAACUUUUCAGCGGUGUAUGGUAAGUAUAUUUUCUAAAUAUGUAGAAAAAAUUAUUGAGGUGUUUAUGGAUGAUUUUAGUGUGUAUGGAGAUAGUUUUGAUGAAUGCCUUGAUAAUUUAGCUUUAAUUUUGAAAAGAUGCAUUGAGACAAAUUUGGUUCUAAAUUGGGAAAAAUGUCAUUUCAUGGUGGAUCAUGGUAUUGUUUUAGGGCAUGUAGUGUCGUCCAGAGGUAUAGAGGUAGACAAGGUAAAAGUCGAUAUUAUCUCUGUUUUACCUUACCCCGCAAGUGUGCGGGAGGUGCGCUCCUUUUUGGGUCAUGCAGGGUUCUACAGGAGAUUCAUAAAAGACUUCUCGAAAAUUGGAGCGCCCCUGUUCAAGCUGUUGCAAAAAGAUGUAGCAUAUGACUUCACCGAGGAGUGCAAGGUGGCAUUUGACAGAUUGAGGGAGUCAUUGACAUCACCACCUGUUAUCCAACCUCCAGACUGGAGCCUCCCAUUUGAGAUAAUGUGUGACGCGAGUGAUUAUGCAGUGGGAGCAGUGUUGGGGCAACGGAUUGGUAGGGCGGCUCAUGCAAUCUAUUAUGCAUCAAAGGCGUUGAAUGGAGCUCAACUCAAUUAUUCUACAACAGAGAAAGAAUUACUUGCUGUGAUUUUUGCACUAGAAAAAUUUAGACCAUACUUGCUAGGUGCAAAAGUAAUAGUUUUUUCUGACCAUGCAGCCUUGAGAUAUCUGAUGACGAAGAAAGAUGCUAAACCAAGGCUUAUCAGAUGGAUCCUGCUCCUCCAAGAGUUCAAUUUGGAGAUUAAAGAUAAGAGUGGGGCAGAAAACUUAGUCGCUGAUCAUUUGAGCCGCUUGCUUGCUCAUAAGGAAGAGCCACCAUUGAGGGAGGCAUUUCCAGAGGAGCAACUACUUGCCAUUAACUCGUCUACACCCUGGUAUGCUGAUAUAGUAAAUUUCUUGGUGACUAAUCAAUUGCCUGCAGGGUGGCCCAAGGCUAAGAGAGACAAGUUGAAAAGUGAUGUCAAAUAUUACAUUUGGGACGACCCGUACCUUUGGAGACAAUGACAGGUGCCGAACCUGUGCAAUAAUAAAUACCUACUCGAGAAAAAUACAGAUUUUGUAUAUAGCGGUGAGUAGGGUCGAAUCCACAGGGACUGGGGAUAAUUCGUUUCUUCUAGAGUCCAAAGUAUGGGGGGUUUUGGAUUAAAUGCUAACUAAAUAAAUUAAUUGCAGAAAAUAAUUAAUUAAAAGAAAUGAUUGGGGAAACUCUAGCCAAGGGUACACAUCAGAAAUGGUUCAUGCACUGAUCAUUGAUGCAGAAAUAAUUCCAACAUUUAGCAGUAGAUUAGUUAUAGUUGUCAUGCACGCGAUAAACAACCAACCCUUCCUUAAUUUCUCGAUAGCUAAGGUACGACCGUUAGCUAUUUCUCUAACCCAAAAAUAACCCUAGGUACGACCGUAAGAUUUAAUUUCUAGAUUGCAUUAAUAAUUAGAAAGGCCCAAUCCUAACCAACAAACACGCUACGAGGGUUUGUUUAAAUUAGAUCAUAUGCUCCCCUGACAUAAACCCAAUUACGCCAGUUGCUACUGAGGUAGAGAUAACGAACAAUUACGGAUUCAAUUACCCAUAUUUAGCAAAAAUAGCCUAUAUGAAUAAUUAAUUAUUGCGCACUAAUCAAUCAUACACAAGGCCAUAGCAAUUAAAAUCAAGGAACAUAUAAAUACCAAUAAAUGAAGAAAAUAAUUAAAACAGAUUCGAUCUCACAGUAAUUGUCGAACCAAAUCGUCAGUUGUCCCCUUGACUAGAAAAGCUUAACCACGCCUCAUGAGAAAAUCUCCCCGUUGGGGAAUAUUGUCGAACACCUGGCGUGUGUCAGAGGCCAGUCCAAAGAAAGAAAACUAGAACUAAACUAAAACUAGAGAUGUCCCUGCUACUCUACGUUAUCCCUAUUUAAGCAACAAGAGGAAGAUGACUAAAGGCUAUCUAGGUGGUCCCCACACAUGUGGACAAAGCCCUCCAAGUACUUCUUGUUCCAAGUCUCUUUCCCGUAGCUUUCUUUUAAGAGCCCAAAUGACUAGAUGCUUUCCACUAGCUUGUGGUCCCCCACCAAUUCAAGGGCCCAAGAAUUGAAGCCCUUAGAAGUCUCCCUAUUUUCCAUAAAGUCCUUCCUUUUUGAUGGUUUUCUGCUUCAUUCCUGAAAUUAAGUCCAAUACCAAAUAUAAGUAAAUAUCAGCAAUUAACACAAUAUUUGUCAGGAAUAAAAGGGGAAAUUAAUAAUAAAAUUACUAACAAAUUAUACCCUAUCAGACAAUGUUCGGAUCAAGUGCUCAGGAGGUGUGUAAGUGCAGGUGAAUUUCACUCCAUUUUAAUCUUCUGUCAUUCGUUUGCAUGUGGAGGGCACUUUGGGCCCAAACGAACAGCUCGAAAGGUGUUGGAGAGUGGUUUUUACUGGCCCACCCUGUUCAAAGAUGCUUAUUUAUUCUGUAAAUCCUGUGAUAGGUGUCAAAGGGUGGGGAAUAUUUUUCGCAGGGACCAAAUGCUUCAAACCCCCAUGUUGUUUGUUGAAAUUUUUGAUGUUUGGGGGAUAGAUUUUAUGGGUCCUUUUCCCUCAUCUUUUGGUUUCCUAUACAUUUUACUUGCUGUGGAUUAUGUCUCUAAAUGGGUGGAAGCCAAAGCCACCCGUACUAAUGAUUCUAGAGUGGUUGCAGAGUUCUUAAAGUCUAAUAUCUUUGUCCGUUUUGGGAUGCCAAGAGCUGUGGUUAGUGAUAGAGGGACACAUUUCUGCAACAAAACUAUCACGGCCUUGUUUCGAAAAUACGGUGUACUGCACAAGGUAUCCAUACCGUAUCACCCGCAGGCGAACGGUCAGGCCGAAGUGUCGAACAGGGAAGUCAAGUCGAUCUUGGAGAAGAUGGUGCGCCCGGACAGGAAGGAUUGGAGUUUAAAGUUAGAGGACGCACUAUGGGCGUACAGAACCGCGUAUAAGACGCCAAUUGGGAUGUCUCCCUAUAGACUUGUUUUCGGUAAGGCUUGCCAUCUCCCCGUGGAGUUCGAACACAAGGCGUUUUGGGCAGUGAAGCAGUGUAACAUGGGAUUUGACGAAGCAGGGGUCCAAAGGAAAUUGCAACUACAGGAGUUAGAGGAGAUAAGAAAUGAAGCUUAUGAGAAUGCCACGAUCUAUAAGGAAAAGAGUAAAAUCUUUCAUGAUCAACAGGUUUCUAGGAAAACUUUUGUAGUGGGGCAAAAAGUCCUCUUGUAUCACUCAAGGCUUAAACUUUUUCCCGGUAAGUUGCGUUCUCGUUAGAUUGGUCCAUUUGUCGUUUCUAAUGUGUUCCAUUAUGGUGCAGUGGAGAUCCAGAGUUUAAACACGGAGAAAAAGUUCGUGGUGAAUGGCCAUCGUCUCAAACCUUAUUAUGAGGGUUUCUAUGUUGAAGAAGUAGAGGUUGAACACCUCCACGAUCCACUUUCUCAUGCUUGAGGGUUUUGGCCAUGUCUAGCCAAAGACAUUAAAGAAAGGCGCUACUUGGGAGGCAACCCAAGACUAUUUGUGGCAGUUUUCAUGCAUUUUUGAAGUUUUAGUUAUGUAUUAGUGUCGAUUGAUGGUUUGAUGUUUUGUGGCAGGAGAUUAGUGGUUAGGCGUGCCCACGCCGGGUGGUCACGCCUGACGGAGGAAAUUUUCGUUCAGGUUCUGCGGGCUACAUGGUAGUUAGACGUGCCCACGCCAGAUGGUCACGCCUGACGGAGGAAAUUUUCGUUCAGAAUCUGCGGGCUACAUGGCAGUUAGGCGUGCCCACUCUAGGUGGUCACGUUAAAAAAAAAAAAAAAAAAAAAAAAAAAAAAAAAACUUCCGUAGCCCUACUUCUCCUUUUCUUCUUUUUUUCUUUCUUUCUUCUUUCUUCUCCCUUUUCUUUCUUUUCUUCUUUUCCUUCUUUUGCUUGGUCGGCCGCCGCACCACACGCCGUCCAUCGCGGUCGCUGCACAGCCGCGUCUCCCAGCCGCGCGAGACCGCGCGCGCCUGCCGCCAGCCCAUCGCGCCGCCGCCUGCCUCGCCCAGCCUCGCUUGCCGCGCGCUAGCGCGCAGCCAGAAUCAGACCGCGCGCGUCUUCCUGCGCUGGUCCAGAUCCACCUAGCAACAGCGGGCAGCAGUCUCCUCGCGCGAGCUCCUCUCGCAGGCAGCCCAGACGCACGCGAGCUCUGUCCAGACGCGCGCACCGCCCAACAACCCGCGCGCCACUCCAGUACGCCCCAGUUGCACGACAGUGCGCUCCCGCAGCUUCGCGCGACACUACCGCCGCCGUCCACCAAGCUCCAGCCCAACUUGCAGCAGCCGCACAAGCUUCUCGAGCAGUCAACCCACCGCGCGGGCCACCAGACCCACCAGCCGCAGUCGCGGACCACAGGCGCGCCGCCCAGCAGCUCGCGCAACCUCUGCACAACUCAGCCAGCGCGCAGCCAACACCAGCGCGCCCCUUGUGCGUGCGACCAAGCAGCCUCUGCGCGACUCCGGUGAUUUCUUUUUCAAUUUCUGUCACUAAGUAGCUGAUGGUUCCGCUGCCAGAAUUUAAUUUUGUAGCUGAUGAUAGAAUGUUUAUUUGCUAGCUCAGGACAGAAAUCUUGUGCUUGAUUUUGGGUGCUGUGUUAUAUCCGUGGGUGAUUGCUGGCUAAUUGUCGAAUUUUGUGCUUAAUCAGUGAUAGUUGGGGGGGAAUUUUUACCCUGGUUGCCUGUUUAAUUAGUCUUGGGAAAAAUUGUUGUGUUUACCUACUUAAUUGAUUUUUGGGUUUAUUUGGUUGUAUUUGGGAAAAAUUUUGGUGUUCGCAGGUUUAAUUGACUCUUGGGGUAAUUUUAUUGUUGAUUUGUGCACUUGUUUGGGAUUGGGAGCUGUGGCUGGGGAUCAUUUGUUUUGAUUGGCUAUUUGUUGGCUAUUUGUUGAUCUCGUUGGGUUACCAUUCCCCUGCCUUGGACCUUCCCUCUGAUUUCAAAUGACUAAACCCAAGAACAAAGGCAAAAACACGCCCUCCACUUCCACCCCUCAGCCUACGGUCCCCUUAGAGCGACCUUCCCCAUCGACUGGGCCUGGAGGACCCCGUACUCGCCUUGGGCGGAAUAGGGAGGUUCAUAUCUCCUCUCCGGCCCAUUUUGGCGGUCACUUGACCUUCACCCGGGCUGCCGACAAGGAGCGGUAUGCAUCGGCUUGCACAAGGAAGAUUAUUUCUUGUAAAUACAUCCAUGGCCCUACACUUGAUAUUUUAAACCUGAGGGAUGAAGUCACGCAGCACUUGACUAACGUAGGUUGGACCCGCUAUGCUUCUAUCAUUUUACCUGCUUUCACUGAACUGACGUGGGAAUUCUAUGCUACCUUUGAACUUAAUAUUCCUGAUGAAUUUUCCGUUACCACUCCUGGGGUAGUGAGGUUUCGAUUAAUGGGUAGAGAGUUCAUCCAAUCUAUAACUGAGUUUAAUUUGGCUUUUGGGUUUAUUGAUAUUCCCUACUCCCAGAGUGAGGAGUACAUGCACAGUGUGUGCGAGUACUCGGAGCCAUUUUUCUCUCAUUACCUUGAUUAUUGGAGUGGUUUGUCAGUUGACCGACAGUGCUAUGACCCCAGUCAGUCUAAGGCCUCUUAUCUUAAGAGCGCCGCCUACCGCUAUUUACAUCGAUUCAUGGCCUAUAGUUUCUCAGGUAGGAAGGAUAGCUCGGGUACUCUGACUAAGCCCGAGUUCUUUUUCGUUUGGUGCAUGGUCACUCGGACUAAGGUCAAUGUGGGUGGCUGGUUUGCCCUCCAGCUCCGAACUGUGCUAACUAAGAAAAAUAAGCCAUUAAUCUUAGGCUCAUUUAUCACUCAGUUGGCAGUGAAUCUUGGGGUUUUGGACUUAAAUAACCAUAAUUUGCAUCGUGCUUGUACUAUGGAACCUCUCGAUUUGGUUUGUUUGGAGAGAAUGGGUCUUGUGCGACAGGUUAAUGGCGUUUUCCAGUUUGCUCCCCCGGGGCCAAUCUCUGUUCCUCCGAAGCGCAGCGCUUCCAAAUCCACUGCCCCGGAGACUGGUGGUCCUUCUACGGAUACACCUGGACCUUCCUCUUCGGCACCCCCACCAUCUUCCUCCGUCGAUAGCCAGCUUGCAGCUCUUCGGUUCCAGAUGCAACACAUGGACAAUCGUAUGGAUCGAAUGGAGGGCCAAAUGGCCGGCAUGGCCCAGAAUUUAGCGCAGUACCUCCACCACGUGGGUUUCCGGCCACCGUGCCCUCCACGACCUUAGUUCACCUCUGCCCCGCCAUAUUAAGGGAAGUGUCGUGCCUUUAUCGCUUUAUUUUCCUCUUUAUCCGCUUCCAUUGGGGACAAUGAAAGGUUUAGGUGUGGGGGAGGGUUAACUAUGCUUUGGUUGUGCUUUUCGUUGUCUGAUUGAGUUUUUCCUUGCCUUAGUAGUUGUCUUUUCUUUGAACGAUGAUGAAUGCGAAUUGGGAUAUAAGCGUACAUAGUAAGUUCAUGCCAUGGGGUGUUCCACUUUCCUUGAUACUGAAUUGAUUGAUUAAUAUGCUGAACUUGACAUCCAUUUGAUCACUUGUGCGAUUUUUUUUUGGCCUAAUUUUCGUUUUGUUGAGUGGUUAGUGCACAUGGUUUGUCAUUCUAGAACUUGCUCGGUUAUGCAUGUCAAGAUCACAUUUAAAUGAAUUUAAUGCAUUGAAAUGAUAGGGCACCUAGGAAUGAGCCAUUUUUGGGACUUUCUUAAAACCAACCCUUGGAUUAUUUAUUAUCAUUAGGGAGCCAAGUUGAGCCUUAACCCCUAUUCGUUGCUUGAGACCCCAGCUCUUAGCCGUGAAACCUCUUUUUAGACUUUGUUUUUGAACCUCGUGUGAAGAAGUGCUUUGAUUUCAUUAUACAGACUUUUGGAGUGUUAUUCGAAGGGCAUUACACCCAUUUAUGUAUCUAAAAAAAAAAAAGAGAAAAAAAAAGAAAGAGAGAAAGAGAAAGUUGACUUUUAUGUGAAAAGAAGACAAAGUGCAGGAAACCAGCAAGUAAAGUUGACUUUUAGGGUGCUGGUUGGGAGUAUUGGAAAAAAAAAAAAAAAAAAAAAAAAAAGGAGAAAAGGCGAAGGCUGUGGCAAGUGCUAGUUCGCUUCACUUGUGUGAUGGUUGAGGUGCCUUUAAAUUUCAAAUGUGCAAAAAUCUAUGUAAUGAAUUUCUGGGCACUUUCUUUAUACUUUUGCACCCUUUUGACUCCUUUUUAUCCUACCUUCUCACCCUAGCCCCACUACAACCUUGCAAAGUCCCUUGAUUGCUGCAUUUAAAUUCAUGAGUAGGUGGUGGAGAUAUGAUAUAUGAGCAAGCUUAUGGUAGUGUCAUUCUAUUGUGUUGAUUUGAGAGCCAUCUUAUAUACAUUUCAUAUACACUUUGGAGUGAACGAGUGCAUUUGGAACUGUGAGCAUUGUUGAUUUGGUAUAUUCUGAUUUCGAUGAGGUUAGUGGGGAGAUUGGGAUGCCGUUUUUGGUAUGAACUGCUGUGAUUAGCUUCGUAUCUCGAUUGUAUUUCUGAGUAAUUAUGCUUGAGGGCAAGCAUAGUUCAGGUGUGGGGGAGAUUGAUAGGUUGCAUUUUAGUGGGUAUUUUGGGCAUUAUUGCAUAAUUAAUUGACUAAAUAUUUUCGUUAAUUGGGUGGAUUCUACUGAUAUUUUGUUUUGGUGCUAAUUGCAGGAAUGGUUGCUGAAAAGCGCUUAAAUUCAACUUUUAGAAGAUUCAUCGGAGUGGGGCCCGUUUGAGAAGCGGAAAAAACCUAAUUGUAAUAGAUUUUAUUUUAAUAUAUAUUUCUAGGGAGUCUUGCUGCAAUUUUGGAGAAGUAACAAUUUGUAAUUUAUCUCUGGCGCGGCUUAGGUUAGAGGAGAGUCUUCGUUUUUGGUUUUUGAAUGAGAGGAGAGAGCCGCAGCCUGGAGGGGAAAAAGGCAACGGACAGAAGCCAUCAUUGUUGACUUGUGAGAAACGAAUUCUUCAUGUUUUGACUUGACAACUUGAGAAAUCAAGCAAUUGAGAAACUUUCACUCUCGUGUAUCUUGACUUCAAUUGGAAAAAGGAAGAAAGCUUAAAGGAGCCGCCAUUGUUGACUUUGCUCUUGGGCUGUCCUACCUUGUGCGAAUCGAAUUGGAGAACAAAAGCAAUCUCUCGUAUGUUUCCACUUAACAAUCGAGAGCAAUACAAAUUUGAGCUUUCUCCUCCUGUGGUGGACCGAAGCGGGAUAAUCGAAGUGCAAACCUUUCUCAGUUUUCCACGCGCGGUUUGUCCUCCAUUAAUGGAGGGCUAAUUCUCUAAUUCUAGUCAAGGGACAGCUGAUGAAUUGGUUCAAUUAAUGCUGUGAGAUCUAAACCGCUUUUAAUUAUUUCCUCCGUUUAUUGGUAUUUAUAUGUUCUUUGCUUUUAACUGUUAUAGCUCUUGUGUAUGAUUGAUUAGUGCGCAAUAAUUGAUUAUUCAUAUAGGCUAUUUUGCUAAAUAGAGGUAAUUGAAUCCGUAAUUGUUCGUUACCUCUAUCCCAGUAGCAACUGGUAUAAUUGGGUUUAUGUCAGGGGAAUAUAUGAUCUAUCUUAAAUAAACCCUCGUAGCGUGUUUAUUGGUUAGGAUUGGGCCUUUCUAAUUAUUAAUGCAAUCUGGAAAUUGAAUCCUACGGUCGUACCUAGGGUUGUUUUUGGGUUAGAGAAAUAGCUAACGGUCGUACCUUGGCUAUCGAUAAAUUAAGGAAGGGUUGGUUGUUUAGCGCGUGCGAGACAACUAGAACCAAUCUAUUAGUAAAUGUUGGAAUUACCUUUGAAUCAAUGAUCAGUGCAUGAACCAUUUCUGAAGUAUACCCUUGGCUAGAGUUUCUCUCAUUUAUUUCUUUUAAUUAAUUAUUUUCUGCAGUUAAUUUGUUUAGUUGGCAUUUGAUACCAAAACCCCCCAUUAAUCUUGAUUUGAAAAGAAACAAAUAUCUCUCCAGUCCCUGAGGAGACGACCCUGCUUACCACUAUCUACUAGUUAGAGAACUCAGUUAAAUAAUUGAUUCAGGUAUAUCGGAUUAAGCAAACUCUUCGGGAACAGGGUGAAUCAAGUAACCCAUUGCACACCUAGAGUCCCUGCUCCAGUACUCGAAUUGAUUACUAGCUGUUGCAGGUGGUAGUUAGGAUUUAUUUAUUAUUAUUGCACAGGUUCGGCACCUGUCAAUAAACUCUGCUCCACUCAACUCUUUCCUCUGUGUCUUGUGCUCUUGUCCGAAAAUGGCGGCGUCAGAAGAAGUGAAAGUGCCAAGAAUCAAGCUGGGCUCGCAAGGUCUUGAAGUUUCAGCUCAAGGGCUGGGCUGCAUGGGCAUGUCAGAAGCCUACGGGCCGCCGAAGCCCGAGCCUGAUAUGAUCAAACUCAUCCACCAUGCUAUUUGCAGAGGUAUCACCCAUCUUGACACCGCCGAUAUGUAUGGACCUCACACCAACGAAAUACUCAUUGGCAAGGUACCGUAUUUACAAAUUUUCUGCUGUUGUGUGCUGUGCAUAAAAUCUUGUACUUUUAAUUUCUGAAAGAGCAUAUUUGUAAUAUUUUAUUUGGGUAUAUUAUACUUGACCCCCUGCACUUCAAAACUUGUCUCCCUUUGGGCCCCCUUAAUUUUGUUUGUGAGCACUUGAACUCCAUUUGUUUAAAUUGUAAGUAUUAUUAGUCAAAUAGGACAUUGUUCUUCUUUUCUUUUGCUUCAUUUCUUCAUGUUACUGCCUUUUCAGUUUGUCCUCCUUUAUAGACAUGGGAUGAAUUACUUUGAUUUUGAUUUUGGCGCAAUUUUGUAUAAAAUGAUUUUUGCUAUGAAGUUAUUGAUUUAUUAUGAGCUAUGCGUUGUAUAUUUACACAAAUUCUGCUAGCUAAACUUUUACUUGAGCAAGCCUUCCAUACAUGAGCAAUAUAAUUCUCUAUGGGUGCAUUUCGUAAAAUUGAAGUUUGAAAAUUAAAAUCUAAUUUAAGUCUAAAUUCAUAAAGUUAUUAAAUUGUUAAGUAUUAAAUUUGAUACGUUUGAGUGCAUGUCACAUCAAACGAUCAGUGAAUAAUUUAUCACUUAUUUUUUGGAGCAAAUUUUGUUUAAGAAAUUCAAUGCCAUUUAAUUAAUUCCGAUAUUCAAUUUUUUAUUAUCAAACAUGUUUGAAUAUGUUAAGAUUUGAACCUAUUAAUUUUAAGUGUUGAAUUGGAUUAUCAAAUAAGACUUAUAAUCAUUAGGUAACCAAGCAGACAACAUGUUUAGUGUAUAAUAGUAAUUAACUUUCAAUUGUCUCAUUAUUCUUUGGUAAAGAACUCUUUGAAUAUUAAUAAUAAUUUUCUCAUACACGGGAAUCAAAAUAAUUGAAGUUUUAUCUCUACCAUUGAGAUAUGUUACCUUCUAAAAGAAAGGAAAGGGAAGGAAACAUGGGGGAAAAAUAGGGAAAGGGCAAAGUGAUGAUAAAUAAAGUUGGAAGUAGCAAAACGAGACAAGUGAAUUAUUGCAAGGCGUUAAGUGUAAAUUAUGUUUAUUUUAUUAGACUAUUUAACCAGAAAGACUGGACUCUUUUAAGGCACCAAUCAAAAGUUCCAAUUGCUGGAAAUAACAUAAAAACCUAGACUUUGGUUUGGCGUUUUUGGAGGUGGUUCAUGAAAAUUUUAUUGUAGUUUUUUUUUCUUCUUGAAAAAUAUAUUUGUAAGAGAAAAAAAGUGGUUGAAAAAAAAUUGAGAGUUUUUUUUAAUAAAUUGUUUUCUAAAUAGUUCAGUCACCCAAAAUUUUCAGUAUUCCGACAACGGCAUCCAUGUGGUGUCAAUUGUCAAACGUGCAACAAAGUUGAGAAGAGAAGGUCGCAGGUCUAGCGCAUACGUUGAAUAGCUAUCAUCUCUACAUCAUAAUGGAGUUGGUAAAAUAGUAGUAUUUUCGUCUUUGAUGUUAAACUUUUCAUCAAUUUAUGGAAAGUUUGCUAUUUCUCUGAUAAGAGAUAGUAAAAUUUACUUUUUAUGAGCAGUAAAGUUUUAAAGAUUAUGAAAAGAGAAUUGUAUGAAGGAAUAGAAGGGAAAGAAAGGUAAGAAAUGGAUGGAUUGUAUUUGGAUUGAUUUUGAGAGAGGAAAGGAGAGGAAACGGAAAGAAAAAGGAAAUGGAUGUAUUGUGUUUUGCUCAGACAUCAUUUCCAUACAAAAGUAGACGGAAACAGAGGGAAAGAAAAUCUUGUUGAUGAUUUUCUAGUAAAAUGCCUCAAGCACCCCAAUAAAUUGUGGGAUGCAACAGCAGGCUACGAAUGUUUGACGAAGCAACUUAUGUAAAUAUUUUAUCGUUAAGUAAAGUUCCUCUUUUGCUGUUAAAAAAAAAAGAAGAAGAGGAAAACAGUAUAUUUAGGUUUUCUUUCUUUCCCAACCAUAUCUGAUCCAAAUAAGACAAAUGAGAACUAUUUUCCUCUACUCUCCUUUCCUCUCUUUUUCACCAGGAUGUUUUAUUUAUAUAUUUAUCCUUUCCUUUGAUCCAAAUGGUUCCUAAAAGGGCAAUUAUUCUACAUUGAUCAGUUCCCUAUUUUCGUAUUAAUUUGCAUGUGCACGAUUCUGUGUAUGUUCAUGUUGUGCAUCAAAUCUUGUGAAUGAUAAAGCUAGAGUGUAAAUUUAAGUUGAAGAAACAUAAACCAAAAAAAAAAAGAAAAUGGAUUGGCUCCUUUAAAGUAUCAGACUUCUAAACCCCAAGGAUUACAUACUUUUCAUAUCCUUUGCCAUACAAAGAAGUGGCAUAGCCUUAACAAUGAAGUGUUGGAAAAACUCCAGAAGGACUGUGCCAUCCAUGAAAUCACAAAUCCACUUGUUAUACCAUGCAAUAAUGUGUAUGUCCUUGAUGAUUAAUAUAAUGAAACCAUGGUUCUAGGCCUUGAAGGAAGGAAUAAGAGCGAAAGUGGAGCUAGCAACCAAAUUUGCAAUCAGUUUUCAGGAUGGGAAGUUUGAUGUACGUGGUGAUCCAGCCUAUGUGAGGGCUUGUUGUGAAGCAAGUUUGAAGCGGCUUGAUGUGGACUGCAUUGAUCUCUAUUAUCAACAUCGCAUCGAUACAAGUGUGCCCAUUGAAGUCACGGUUUGCUCCAUCUUGCCUUUCUUUUAUUUUAGCUCCACCUCAUUCUUGAUGAAACAAAAGUUUGAUCAACUCCAAAUUUAGAAUAAUUCAGUUUCAUGUCCGUUUCAAUUCUUCAAAAAUUGCACAGAAAAGUUAGUCAACCUUAUGGUCUCGGCUAAUCUGCAGUAUGGUAUAGCUGAUUUUGCACAAGGCAUCCUGAAAAGUGAAAACAAUGAAAAUGUCUUGUAUUAGCUUGACAGUCCUGCUGAGGGAUAUACAGAUGGAUAUCAUGCUAUACAUUGUACAGCUUUCCUUUAGAACCAAGAGACCUGAGCAUUCUCUUUCAUUUGAGAUAGGCUAUUUACUUACAUUGUCAUUCGUUUUCAGUCGGUGCCAAAAGCACUGCGGAUAGACAUUUAUUAUUGAUAUCUAAAAAACAUGGUACUCAUUUUGUUCAGAGCACAGCUUUUUGUCUAAUUGUGAAAGCCAGCUGCAACUGCCCCAUUGACCUCUCCAAGCAAUUCAAAGAUUUCAGCAGCUUGCUUACAUUAAGCUUUUAUGAAACGAUUUCUCUGUCUUCUUUUUCUCAUGUAAUCAGCAAAGAAUUGUCUUGUUUUCCCUGAGUAUUAGGUAGAAACUUUCUUGCAGUUUAAUCACUCAAAAUACAGGCAAGUAUAACGGAAAUCAAGCAAAAUUGGCAACUGAUAAUUGAUAUGUACGGCCAUUAUUCUAUAUAGAAGUCAACAAUGCCAUGUAAUCAUAUUGGAGGAGCAUUAUGUUGGCAUGGUCCAGUAGAACUAAGUCCUCCGGUUGGCUGUACAUAGAGAACUAUCACUGGAUGCUUAUUGCCAUUUUCAUCAAUUAGUGAUUUCAGUUUGAUGUAUACUUUGUCCACAACUUCGUUGAACUAGUGCAACUUUUACUUUUUGCACGUAAUAUUUCGAUUAUCUGCCUAAGUGUUGAAUGUAAUAAAUCAGCUUAGCAUCUUCUUGUCCAUUGAAAUUCUCUAGAUAGGAGAGCUCAAGAAACUGGUUGAAGAGGGUAAAAUAAAGUAUAUAGGUCUGUCUGAGGCCUCAGCUUCAACAAUUCGAAGAGCACAUGCUGUUCAUCCAAUAACAGCUGUACAGUUGGAGUGGUCAUUGUGGACCAGAGAUGUCGAGGAAGAGAUUAUUCCCACUUGCAGGUAGUGCAUAUAUUCUGCUGAAUUUUCUAAAUGGUCUAGAAGAAAUAUGAAGUUCUCAAUUCAGUUUUUGGUAUAAUCUUUCAGAGAGCUUGGCAUAGGGAUUGUUGCAUACAGUCCACUUGGACGAGGUUUCUUCUCAUCAGGUCCAAAGCUGAUGGAGAAUUUGGCUGAAGGUGACUUUCGAAAGGUUUGUACAUAUGUUUUUGAGUAUAGAUUGUUUAUAGUUCGAAUAAGUUUCUCACUCAUCUACUUUUACCAGAUUCAGUGGCAAUCUGCAAGUGUCCUGAUAGCUCAAAAAUGUACCCGUUUUCUAUUUUGAGUUCCCUCGUUAAUGGGAAAUGUGUUGCAGGAUCUACCUUCUACAAUUGAUGUUUCUUAGAGUACUCAGUCCACCUUACUUGAUUGUUCCUUCCCCUGAACUUUGUACACCUCAAACAAUACUAUCCAUCAUCUUGAAGUUAUUCAUAUUGUCUUCAUUUGUAGACGACACAUGCUUCACUCCCUUUUGCAUUUCUGGCGUUACAGUUGCUUGAAAUUUUGAAAUUCAUACAAUGUAGGGUUUGCCAAGGUUUCAAGCAGAGAAUUUGGAGCACAACAAGAAGUUGUAUGAGCGGGCCACUGCCAUUGCUUCAAGGAAGGGUUGUACUCCAUCACAGCUAGCAUUGGCCUGGGUCCAUCACCAAGGCAAUGAUGUUUGUCCCAUACCUGGCACUACCAAGAUUGAGAACCUCAAUCAGAAUAUAGGAGCUUUGUCUGUAAAACUGUCGGCAGAAGAUAUGGCGGAACUUGAAUCUAUUGCUUCUGCAGGAGUCAAGGGUGAGAGAUACGGGCCUGAAAUCAGCACUUGGCAAAAUUCUGAAACUCCACCAUUGUCAAC
RNAcentral lists this long non-coding RNA (38777 nucleotides) under Coffea arabica (coffee). RNAcentral's name for it is "long non-coding RNA (CARA_LNC002188)". The record is from RNAcentral. Lineage: Eukaryota; Viridiplantae; Streptophyta; Magnoliopsida; Gentianales; Rubiaceae.